UACGGAGGAUCCGAGCGUUAUCCGGAUUUAUUGGGUUUAAAGGGUGCGUAGGCGGCUUUUUAAGUCAGCGGUGAAAUUUUGCAGCUUAACUGUAACAGUGCCGUUGAUACUGGGGAGCUAGGAUUUGGUUGCUGUGGGUGGAAUGUGUGGUGUAGUGGUGAAAUGCUUAGAGAUCACACAGAAUAUCGAUUGCGAAGGCAGCUCACAAAGCCAAGAUUGACGCUGAGGCACGAAAGUGUGGGGAUCAAACAGGAUUAGA
RNAcentral lists this ribosomal RNA (259 nucleotides) under uncultured prokaryote. RNAcentral describes it as "partial 16S ribosomal RNA". It matches the Rfam family "Bacterial small subunit ribosomal RNA", at positions 524 to 782 of the family's 1533-position model. The record is from RNAcentral.